RNAcentral lists this non-coding RNA (28 nucleotides) under Rattus norvegicus (Norway rat). Lineage: Eukaryota; Metazoa; Chordata; Mammalia; Rodentia; Muridae. The record is from RNAcentral.
CACGUCUGUGCGGCACUGUCUUGUUAAU